UCCAGCUUAUCGCUGGCGGUCUCCUGCGAGUGCUCCCUUGCGGGGUGGCAACACAGGACGAGGGUUGCGCUCGUUGCGGGACUUAACCCAACAUCUCACGACACGAGCUGACGACAGCCAUGCAGCACCUCGGCUCCACUCCCUUGCGGGAUAGCGAUGUUUCCACCGCCGUUGGGAAGCCGUUCGAGCCCAGGUAAGGUUCUUCGCGUUGCGUCGAAUUGAACCACAUGCUCCACCGCUUGUGCGGGCCCCCGUCAAUUCCUUUGAGUUUCAGCCUUGCGACUGUACUCCCCAGGCGGCACAUUUAACGCGUUAGCUCCGGCACGGAUCAACUGAAUGACCCACACCAAAUGUGCAUCGUUUAGGGCGUGGACUAC
RNAcentral lists this unclassified non-coding RNA (377 nucleotides) under uncultured Bryobacterales bacterium. Its description in RNAcentral is "contains 16S-23S intergenic spacer region". The record is from RNAcentral. Lineage: Bacteria; Pseudomonadati; Acidobacteriota; Terriglobia; Bryobacterales.